GGGGGGGGGGGGGGGCGGGCGUAACACAUGGAAGGCGAGCGGAGGAAGGGAGCUUGCUCCGGGAUUCAGCGGCGGACGGGUGAGUAAUGCCUAGGAAUCUGCCUGGUAGUGGGGGAUAACGUCCGGAAACGGGCGCUACUACCGCAUACGUCCUGAGUGAGAAAGUGGGGGAUCUUCGGACCUCACGCUAUCAGAUGAGCCUAGUUCGGAUUAGCUAGUUGGUGGGGUAAAGGCCUACCAAGGCGACGAUCCGUAACUGGUCUGAGAGGAUGAUCAGUCAGACUGGAACUGAGACACGGUACAGACACCUACGGGAGGCAGCAGUGGGGAAUAUUGGACGAUGGGCGAAAGCCUGAUCCAGCCAUGCCGGGUGUGGGAAGAAGGUCUUAGGAUUGUAAAGCACUUUAAGUUGGGAGGAAGGGCAGUAAGUUAAUACCUUGCUGUUUUGACGUUACCAACAGAAUAAGCACCGGCUAACUUCGUG
RNAcentral lists this ribosomal RNA (484 nucleotides) under uncultured bacterium. RNAcentral describes it as "partial 16S ribosomal RNA". It matches the Rfam family "Bacterial small subunit ribosomal RNA", at positions 38 to 507 of the family's 1533-position model. The record is from RNAcentral.